Molecule: long non-coding RNA, 417 nt
Filed under: Ovis aries (sheep)
Lineage: Eukaryota; Metazoa; Chordata; Mammalia; Artiodactyla; Bovidae
Description: lncRNA (ENSOARG00000026833.1)
Source: RNAcentral
AUGAGUAACGGUCAGAAACAGAAUUUGAACCAUGAACAAGUCCGAAGGAAGGGAGUAGUUGUGACUGGAGAUCAAAGGUGGUCAGACUUCGAAAAGAAACAUUGUCCCGGGGAUAGAAGGGCCCCGGAGACCACAACCAUAGAUUCCAGGUCCCUCUUUUGACAGCUAGGCUAACUAAAGCCCAGAGAGGAAAGCGGCUUGUCCGAGGUCACACAGUAAGCAAAUCAGGGCGAGAACCCACCUUACCCACUCGCGCCGCCCAGUUGCCUCUUAUUCGAGUGGUGCCCAACACGCAGAGCCCCCGCGGACACACAUGCUCCGAGGCCCCCGAGCGCCCGCCGCCCACCGCUCCAGGCCAGCUCCCCACCUCGGAGCCGGGUUUGGGUCAACAAUUGUGCCCCCCCCCCCCCACACCCC